RNAcentral lists this non-coding RNA (27 nucleotides) under Homo sapiens (human). The record is from RNAcentral. Lineage: Eukaryota; Metazoa; Chordata; Mammalia; Primates; Hominidae.
UGAGAAAACAAGGAGUAAGCUCAAAGC